RNAcentral lists this ribosomal RNA (253 nucleotides) under uncultured bacterium. RNAcentral describes it as "partial 16S ribosomal RNA". It matches the Rfam family "Bacterial small subunit ribosomal RNA", at positions 524 to 776 of the family's 1533-position model. The record is from RNAcentral.
UACGUAGGGUGCGAGCGUUAAUCGGAAUUACUGGGCGUAAAGCGUGCGCAGGCGGUCCGCAAAGUCUGAUGUGAAAGCCCCGGGCUCAACCUGGGAACUGCAUUGGAAACUAACGGGCUCGAGUGUGGCAGAGGGGGGUGGAAUUCCACGUGUAGCAGUGAAAUGCGUAGAGAUGUGGAGGAACACCGAUGGCGAAGGCGGCCAACUGGGCUUGUUCUGACGCUGAGGUGCGAAAGCGUGGGGAGCGAACAGG